Molecule: ribosomal RNA, 301 nt
Filed under: uncultured bacterium
Lineage: Bacteria
Description: partial 16S ribosomal RNA
Rfam family: Bacterial small subunit ribosomal RNA
Source: RNAcentral
CAGUAGCCGCGGGAACACGGAGGGUGCAAGCGUUAAUCGGAAUUACUGGGCGUAAAGCGCACGCAGGCGGUCUGACAAGUCAGAUGUGAAAUCCCCGGGCUUAACCUGGGAACUGCAUUUGAAACUGUCAGGCUGGAGUCUUGUAGAGGGGGGUGGAAUUCCAGGUGUAGCGGUGAAAUGCGUAGAUAUAGGAAGGAACACCAGUGGCGAAGGCGACCACCUGGACUGAUACUGACACUGAGGUGCGAAAGCGUGGGGAGCAAACAGGAUUAGAUACCCGGGUAGUCCCUGUCUCUUAUAC